Molecule: ribosomal RNA, 893 nt
Filed under: uncultured archaeon
Lineage: Archaea
Description: bacterial SSU rRNA
Rfam family: Archaeal small subunit ribosomal RNA
Source: RNAcentral
UGGCUCAGUAACACGUGGAGAAUCUAACCUUUGGUGGAGGAUAAUCUCGGGAAACUGAGAAUAAUACUCCAUAAACAUAGGAUGCUGGAAUGCUUCUAUGUUGAAAGGCAACGCCAAAGGAUGACUCUGCGACCUAUCAGGCUGUAGUGAGUGUAAUGGACUCACUAACCUGCAACGGGUACGGGUGUUGGAAGACAUUGCCCGGAGAUGGACUCUGAGACAUGAGUCCAGGUUCUACGGAACGCAGCAGGCGCGAAAACUCCGCAAUGUACGAAAGUACGACGGGGGAAUUCUGAGUGCUUACGCCUUGCGUAGGCUGUUUUCUUGUCUAAAAAACAAGGAGAGUAAGGGCUGGGUAAGACGGGUGCCAUCUCGUGCAAUUCUGCACUUAUUGUGUUCGUUGCACGAAGCACAAGCCGCCGCGGUAAUACCCGCGGCCCGAGUGGUGCUCAUUAUUAUUGAGCCUAAAACGUCCGUAGCCGGUUUAAUAAAUUCUUGGGUAAAUCAUAUCGCUUAACGAUAUGAAUUCUGAGAACACUGCUAAACUCGGGAAUGGGAGAGGCCAGAGGUACUUUCAGGGUAGGGGUAAAAUCCCGUAAUCCUGAGAGGACCACCGGUGGCGAAGGCGUCUGGCUAGAACAUAUUCGACGGUAAGGGACGAAGCCCUGGGGCGCAAACGGGAUUAGAUACCCCGGUAGUCCAGGGUGUAAACGCUGUAGAUUUGGUGUUGGAAAUCCUACGGGGAUUCCCAGUGCCGGAGAGAAGUUGUUAAAUCUACUGCUUGGGGAGUACGGUCGCAAGACUGAAACUUAAAGGAAUUGGCGGGGGAGCACCGCAACGGGUGGAGCGUGCGGUUUAAUUGGAUUCAACGCCGAGAAACUCACCGGGGGCGA